Molecule: ribosomal RNA, 254 nt
Filed under: uncultured bacterium
Lineage: Bacteria
Description: partial 16S ribosomal RNA
Rfam family: Bacterial small subunit ribosomal RNA
Source: RNAcentral
UACGUAGGGUGCGAGCGUUAAUCGGAAUUACUGGGCGUAAAGCGUGCGCAGGCGGUUCGUUGUGUCGGCGGUGAAAGCCCCGGGCUUAACCUGGGAAUGGCCGUUGAAACUGGCGAACUGGAGUGUGGCAGAGGGGGGUGGAAUUCCGCGUGUAGCAGUGAAAUGCGUAGAGAUGCGGAGGAACACCGAUGGCGAAGGCAGCCCCCCUGGGCUAACACUGACGCUCAGGUACGAAAGCGUGGGGAGCAAACAGG